Non-coding RNA from Arachis ipaensis, 1629 nucleotides. The record is from RefSeq and is a predicted model, not a curated record. Lineage: Eukaryota; Viridiplantae; Streptophyta; Magnoliopsida; Fabales; Fabaceae.
UCUGAUGUUAAAAGGUUGAAAAAAAAUCAUUCUCUUGUGUCUAAUUUUGUAUACGUGCUUAAGUUGCAAUCAGUUACUGCCGAGUGUCAUGCCCUAAAUUUGCAACCAAUUUACAAGCAGAAUAACUUUUGAUUUUUGUCAUUUUUAUACAACAUAGAUACCAUGGCCUUUUUUUGUGUUCUGUUCCAUCCAAUUACUGCCUAAUUGUGAUUAGUACCUUUAAUUUAGUCUUGUCAUCAAGGACAUCUUAUAUAAAGCUAUAAACUAUAUAUGAAAUUAAUUUCAUUUGUUAUGAUAUUUUUUGGGUUUUGUGGGUUUUUUUUCAAUUUUUUUUUCUGUUUACUCAGAUUUGAGGUGAAUAUCAUACAGUGGGGUUGAGCAAUUUGAAGUAAGCUUCUACCUUUAUGUCAUUUUGGGUUUCUUCAAGAGGACUCAGCCUCGCAAGGCUUGAAUGAAUCACAGGUAGAAGGUAUUCAACCCAAUAUGGUCGCGCUUGAGCAGGAGCCGGCGCGUCUUAGGACGUGUCUUUUCAAAGUCGACGAGCGGGUGGAGCAAGCCCGCUCAAUGGAUUCGGCUAGUGACCAAGAGCAGGCCCGACAGCAGGCGGAGCUUCGUGCCCCUUUUAUUCAAAUAGAGGCCCGGCUUGCUGCUCGAAGGCAGGCCCUUGCAGAAGCGGUUAAUUCCCUUCAGCAACAGCUCCGGGCCCAAAACCAAUUCCUUUAAGAAGCGGGGGAAGGGUCGACUUCAGCUCUCGUAUUAAAGGGGGGCACCCCCCUUCCAACUAAAAUAAAAGUAACAAACAUUUCUUCUUUUCUGAUCAGGUCGUGUACAACAACCUUAACCGCACAAACCUAGGCUGGGCCUACUCUUCUUGUUUUUAAUUUCAGUAAAUGAUCAACUAAGUUAGAUGAUUUAACUAUUUUUGUCUCUGAUAAAUGAAGUGUAUUGGUGGAUCUAUGUUCUAUUUUGGGAGGGAGGUAAUGGGAAUAUGGGUAUCCAGUACCUGCAACAUAUGUGUGAAGAUCAGUCCUGCCGGAGAUUCUUCCCAUCAGGUUCUGCCUUUGAGAUAUGGUCUGAGUUUAAAUCUUUAUUGCAAAACCCAUGGCAUAAUUCAUCCUUUGAGGGAUCUGGGUUUGCAAGACUAUUCCUUCCUAUGAACGUGGACAAUCAGAAUUUUUAUUCACAGUAAGAAGUAUAUAUUUCCUUCUUUCUUUUUUCUCUUUAAUUUUUUUAUUGGCUUUCUGCGAAAUUAAGUUUUAUAAUUGAGUUGGCAGUGAUUAGAUUGAAGAAUGUAUAGACUUGUGGGGAUCUAUAUCAAAUUGCCAAUUUUGGAACAGUCAAUGGGCAGAUGUGAUAGCCCAUGUCAUAAAAAAUUACCACAAUCUUAAUUUGGAGUGCUUUCUUUUUUGCCAGAUACUUGAAUAUCUUUGAGGGAUUGGAUCAACCGAGUGAGAUUCCAUCACCAAGAGAUUUAGGAAGUAGAUCUUCUAGAGUGAGCAACAAAGAAGAAUAAUCUUGUAUGAUAAAGAUUUUAUGUAUUAAGUAUUAUAUAUAUGUGUUAAGACGAAUUAUUGAAAAAUGUUAUCUUUGAUACUUUGUUUUUGGAUUAUGAUUUUUUAUUUUCGAAGA